This is a non-coding RNA of Candidatus Peribacteria bacterium, 114 nucleotides long. NCBI's taxonomy places the organism in Bacteria, Candidatus Peregrinibacteriota, Candidatus Peribacteria. The record is from Rfam.
CCUGGUGGUUCUAGCGGCGGGGUCACACCCGAUCCCAUUCCGAACUCGGAAGUUAAGCCCGCCCGCGCCGAUGGUAGCUGUCCUUGUGACCGCAAGAGUAGGUCGCUGCCGGGA